Molecule: ribosomal RNA, 443 nt
Filed under: uncultured bacterium
Lineage: Bacteria
Description: partial 16S ribosomal RNA
Rfam family: Bacterial small subunit ribosomal RNA
Source: RNAcentral
CCUACGGGUGGCAGCAGUGGGGAAUAUUGCACAAUGGGGGGAACCCUGAUGCAGCAACGCCGCGUGAGGGAAGACGGUUUUCGGAUUGUAAACCUCUAUCAAUAGGGAAGAAAGAAAUGACGGUACCUCAAUAAGAAGCCCCGGCUAACUACGUGCCAGCAGCAGCUGUAAGACGUAGGGGGCAAGCGUUCUCCGGAAUUACUGGGUGUAAAGGGAGAGUAGGCGGCAAGGUAAGAGAUAUGUGAAAGCCUGAGGCUUAACCUGAGGAUUGCAUAAAGAACGAGCUAGCUAGAGUACAGGAGAGGAAAGCGGAAUUCCGAGUGUAGCGGUGAAAUGCGUAGAUAUUAGGAAGAACACCAGUGGCGAAGGCGGCUUUCUGGACUGAAACUGACGCUGAGGCUCGAAAGCGUGGGGAGCGAACAGGAUUAGAUACCCGAGUAGUC